RNAcentral lists this long non-coding RNA (394 nucleotides) under Mytilus galloprovincialis (Mediterranean mussel). The record is from RNAcentral. Lineage: Eukaryota; Metazoa; Mollusca; Bivalvia; Mytilida; Mytilidae.
CACGAAUAUAAUUGAAAAAAGAUUAAAAAAAGACUGCAUGGUAGUGGUAGUGUCCACUACGAAACGUUUUUCUCCCAUACUUGUUUCGUAGGGGACCGUUUCGUUGGGGACAUAUUCGCAUGUUUUAUUUUCCCCCCACAAUCCCUAUAUUGCAAUAGUAACAAGACUGAUUGUAUUCAUCAAAGCAUUUAUUAAGCUGUACACUGAUAUUUUUUUCAUAAUUUUAAAACCAGAUACUGAAGGAGAUUUGAUCCGUUUCGUAGUGGACAUUAACAAAAAUACGGUAUCACUCUGGUCCAUUUGAUGUGCUCAAUUUUUCUUACCAACAAUUUAAUUGCCGUUAUAAAAGCAUCACUUCUUUUGUAAGACCCUAAUGUUUAUAUAUCUUGCAAAC